This 28-nucleotide small RNA is filed under the name Bombyx mori (domestic silkworm). RNAcentral's name for it is "ovarian small RNA-23406". The record is from RNAcentral. Lineage: Eukaryota; Metazoa; Arthropoda; Insecta; Lepidoptera; Bombycidae.
UAUAGUCUACGUGAUGACGGUUCCUAUU